Molecule: ribosomal RNA, 721 nt
Filed under: uncultured bacterium
Lineage: Bacteria
Description: bacterial SSU rRNA
Rfam family: Bacterial small subunit ribosomal RNA
Source: RNAcentral
UGCCUCAUACUCGGGAAUAGCCUUGCGAAAGUAAGAUUAAUGCCCGGUGUUUUCAGAGUCCCGCAUGAGGCUUUGAACAAAGAUUUAUCGGUAUGAGAUGGCGAUGCGUCCCAUUAGCUUGUUGGCGGGGUAACGGCCCACCAAGGCAUCGAUGGGUAGGGGUUCUGAGAGGAAGGUCCCCCACAUUGGAACUGAGACACGGUCCAAACUCCUACGGGAGGCAGCAGUGAGGAAUAUUGGUCAAUGGGCGGAAGCCUGAACCAGCCAAGUAGCGUGCAGGAAGACGGCCCUCCGGGUUGUAAACUGCUUUUAGUUGGGAAUAAAACGGGGCUCGUGAGCCCCCUUGCAUGUACCAUCAGAAAAAGGACCGGCUAAUUCCGUGCCAGCAGCCGCGGUAAUACGGAAGGUCCGGGCGUUAUCCGGAUUUAUUGGGUUUAAAGGGAGCGCAGGCGGACCUUUAAGUCAGCUGUGAAAUACGGCGGCUCAACCGUCGAACUGCAGUUGAUACUGGAGGUCUUGAGUGCACACAGGGAUGCUGGAAUUCAUGGUGUAGCGGUGAAAUGCUCAGAUAUCAUGAAGAACUCCGAUCGCGAAGGCAGGCAUCCGGGGUGCAACUGACGCUGAGGCUCGAAAGUGCGGGUAUCAAACAGGAUUAGAUACCCUGGUAGUCCGCACAGUAAACGAUGAAUACUCGCGGUUUGCGAUACAGUGUAAGCCGCCA